AACUAAUACUCAACUACUAUUACUACAUGCUCAUUCGAGUUCGAAUUAAAAGACAUCCCCAAGAGUUCAGACCUGCCUGCCUUGCUUAAAUUAGGUUGAAAUGAAUCCUCAAUGUGGUAGCAGCCACCAACCUUGAUGGGAUGGGAGACCUGAAUUAUCCUGAAUUUGAGCUUAAACCAUGAGCAUUCUAAAAAAGAAGCAAUGUAGCUUAACCCAAAAUUUUGAGAGGACGUAAACUAAUUGUAUCCUGAUCGACCCUCCUUCCUACCGCGAAACCGGGUUGGCAAAUCCUGUUUUCUGUCAAACUGAGUGUUCUCAUCACGAGUCACGAUUCUCAAGGGGUGGGCUUCGGUGUUAAACACCCAUUCAUCCAGAGAGAUGACAGACGAAGGCGAAAACAGCAGGUAGAGAUAUUUAAGUGUCUCGGCAAGGAAGAAGCUCUGCAUCAUGUUGUCUUUGACACCUGUAUUCACAUCCUUGAGUCCAACAUAUCCUGUCUCUAUGCGAGAGUUCCUUUCAAAUGCUUGGAAAAUAUUCCAACCCCAUUCUUGGUAUGUCUUGUUCCCAGUUAAACGCCAGAGGUAAAAGAGCGACUCAACCGUUUCAGGCCUCAAAAUGUUCCAUGAUGUCCCAACACUCAUGUCCCGUCCAUCAUGAAAGAAAUAGUUUUCUCCAGCCAAUUUUGUAGGUGUUGAUUGGUAGAAGUUAUAGCAAGUCCACGCAAGCUCUUCAGCGAGUGAUAGCAUUUUUGAAGCUUCUCCAGUGUCAUAACCAAAAGAACCUAAUGCCAACAUGCCAGGGGAAAAACAAGCCAAUUCAUCCAUCUUGUCAGACAUCUGAUUUCCAUUCUUCUCACGUAUGUAUGCGAAGGAUGAUGGUGUUGUCCUAUGAACCAAGCUUUGAAAACCUUUCAUUGAUGUCUCCCACAUUUCUCUGUAAAGUUUUACAGCUUCUGUUUUGUUCCCUUGCAUCCAAACCUUGAGUAAAUACUCAUAGAAGCUAUCACCCAUGGCACCAAAUGUGAUCACUGAGUAUGAAGACAUUCCAGUGUGAGGAUUAAUAUAUAUGGGAAGCAAACCAUCAGC
Molecule: unclassified non-coding RNA, 1085 nt
Filed under: Hevea brasiliensis (rubber tree)
Lineage: Eukaryota; Viridiplantae; Streptophyta; Magnoliopsida; Malpighiales; Euphorbiaceae
Source: RNAcentral